AUUUCUUUUAGAUUUAUUUCUGUAUGUGUCAUAUUCUCAAUGUCAUUGGUACUACCCUCUCACACCUAAGUGAUCAUCUGGCUUUCCCUAACACAGUUCUUUGAUUUCAUUGAGAACAGCCCUUUGUCAGAUUUAGGUGGCAUAUGUGCUAAUCAUAGUUUAAUUGGUCUCUCCUGUUCUGUGGUGGCUCAGGUGUGAUGCAAAUAAAACAUAUAUGUGCAAUGGAGGUGAUUGGAAUUAUGGUCAACUGACAGGAGGCAUCAACCUUUCAGUGGUUGAAUAGCUGGUUUAUUGGAUAAGACAGGACAAUUACCACAACUGGCCUGUCAGGAUGGUUAGAGCUCCCUAUAGGCUUUGAGGCAGGUGUUUGUGCCUUCAGUUUAAUCUCUUUCUUUCUAGUUCCAGGCUGCAUGCAGCCCUUGGCACCAGCAGAAGCAUUUAUACAGAAACGUGGGUCACCUGGAUGCCUAGCCCAGUGGAUCUGGAUGCUUAUUACCAAACAAGGCAUGAGCUCUCUGCAACGCAAGCUCAAUUUCUCUGGGGGAAAGUAGGUUCCACACCGACCGUGAUGCUUGAACUCAUGACCCUGAGAUCAAGAGUCACAUGCUCUACUAGCUGAGCCAGCCAGGCACCCUCAUUUUCAAUGGUAUAAUUCUCUGCAGGUAUUUUUAUGAACUAAAUGGGUUUGUAAUGAGACUAUUAAUAGGAUGAAUGGAGGAUUUAGAU
Molecule: long non-coding RNA, 726 nt
Filed under: Mustela putorius furo (domestic ferret)
Lineage: Eukaryota; Metazoa; Chordata; Mammalia; Carnivora; Mustelidae
Description: lncRNA (ENSMPUG00000028794.1)
Source: RNAcentral